UCUAAUAUUUUGGAUGUAAGGCAGGAGUAGUAUAUACUCAUCUAGUGGACUAUAACGUACAUUAAAUGGUAUCCUAUGUAUACAUUUAGGGGUAUUUAAGUGUUAUUAUAAUAAGAUUCUUAAAUUAUAACAAUGGAAAUCUAAGGCUUAAUUAAAUCUUUAUUUUAGUUGUGAGCUUAAAGUUUUAUUCUUUCUUGAGCUUUUAUGAGGCUAUAAAAUUUGUAUGAAUAUUAAAAUAAGUAAAAAAAUAAAUCUUAUAUAGGGUUUAAUAAAAAUAAAAAUUAUAAUUUAUAAUAAAUAAAAUCUCAGCAUAAAUUAUUAGACAAUAUAUGUAAGUAUGAUCUGGUAAUAGUUAGAAGUCCGAUUAAAUAUUGUGCCAGCAGUCGCGGUUAAACUUUAGGAUUGAGUAAAAAUUAUUGGUUUACUAGUUAAGGGAGGAUUAUUAUAAAUUUAAAAAAAUAAAAAGUGAAAUUAGAUUAUUUUUUAUAAAAUAAAUUAAUUUAAACUGAAGCUAGAAAAUUUCUAGGCUUAAACUAGGAUUAGAUACCCUAUUAUACUGGAGUUUAAUAGUAUAACUUGAACAUUAAUAGUUAUAAUCUAAAAAUUUGAAGAAUUUGGCGGUGGUUUAGUCUUGUCAGAGGAACCUGUUUUAUAAUCGAUACACCACGAGAAUCUUACUUAUUUUUGUUAUAACAGUUUGUAUACCAUCAUUAUCAGAUAAUUUUUAAAGAAAUAUUAUUGAUAUUUAAAUUAUAAUUGAAAUUAGAUCAAGGUGCAGCCAAUAAAUAAGUUCAAAUGGGUUACAAUAAUUUUAAAUUAUAUAGAAUAAUUUUUUAAAUAUAAUUAAGAAAGCGGAUUUGAUUGUAAUAAAAGCUUAAUAUGCUUGAAAGAUAAAAGCUCUAAACCAUGUACAUAUCGCCCGUCGCUUUCAUUCAGAGAUGAAAUAAGUCGUAACAUAGUAGGCUCACUGGAAAGUAAGUCUGGAUUAAU
RNAcentral lists this ribosomal RNA (990 nucleotides) under Oregonia gracilis. RNAcentral's name for it is "12S ribosomal RNA". Lineage: Eukaryota; Metazoa; Arthropoda; Malacostraca; Decapoda; Oregoniidae. The record is from RNAcentral.